GCUCCUUUCAUUUCUCUUCUUUGCUUCUGAUUCAAUAGCACGGAGACUCGCGCAAAGGGUUAACAGUUGAUAGGCAAGUCAAGCGGUAAAGCAGUAAAUCCACUAAGAAAGGCACUAAUAGCUAUUCACUCACCAACAACAGCGGCAAGGCAAGAGUGGAAGGAGAAAAGAAAGAAGGAUCAAGUCGAGUGUUGUUCGGUGUGAGGCCGAGGUAGCUGUUCUAGUUCUGGACAGGAAAGUCAAGUAUGGGCUUAGGGCUUUUGAAUUUGAAAUGGACUUGCAACCGGGGGAGAACAGAACUCUGGGUCCCGAAUUCCCCCGCCGACUGAGAGAUUCGAUUUCCAAAUCCAAGCUGGAACGUAGUCGCUAUAGCGAAGCUAUUGGCUUUCGCUUUGCUAAAUCGGAUC
This 407-nucleotide long non-coding RNA is filed under the name Nicotiana benthamiana. RNAcentral describes it as "long non-coding RNA (NBEN_LNC041458)". The record is from RNAcentral. Lineage: Eukaryota; Viridiplantae; Streptophyta; Magnoliopsida; Solanales; Solanaceae.